Molecule: ribosomal RNA, 425 nt
Filed under: uncultured bacterium
Lineage: Bacteria
Description: bacterial SSU rRNA
Rfam family: Bacterial small subunit ribosomal RNA
Source: RNAcentral
AACGCGAAGAACCUUACCAGGGUUUGACAUCCCAGGAAUUUCCCCGAAAGGGGAGAGUGCCUUCGGGAAUCUGGUGACAGGUGUUGCAUGGCCGUCGUCAGCUCGUGUCGUGAGAUGUUUGGUUAAGUCCAUCAACGAGCGCAACCCCUUUACUUAGUUGAAUUUUUCUAAGUAGACUGCCCCGGUAACGGGGAGGAAGGAGGGGAUGAUGUCAGGUCAGUAUUACCCUUACACCCUGGGCUAGAAACACGCUACAAUGGCCGGUACAAAGGGCAGCCAAGGCGCGAGCCGGAGCAAAUCCCAUCAAAACCGGUCUCAGUUCGGAUUGCAGGCUGAAACUCGCCUGCAUGAAGCUGGAAUCGCUAGUAACGGUAGGUCAGCACACUACCGUGAAUACGUUCCCGGGCCUUGUACACACCGCUGUA